UCCGGUGUUUUUCUUUUUCUUUCUGGAUUAUUUCGCUAAGCAUGAUCCCUUCCAGCGCCAUCCAUGUUGCUGCAAAAAUUGCAUGUGUUUAUCUUUUUUGAAUGCUGAGUAAUAUUCCAUGGUGUAUAUGUACCACAUCUUCUUGAUCCAGUCAUCUAUUUUUGGGCAUUUGGGUUGUUUCCAAAGCUUACUACUAAACAUAGAGCUUCCAUAUGAUCCAGCAUUUCCACUCUAGGUAUUUACCCAAAGGACACAGAAACAUCGAUUCCAAAGAGCACCUGCACCCCUCUGUUUAUAGCAGCACUGUUUACAAUAGCUAAGCUUUGGAAACAUCUUCGUGUUUCAUAGAAGGUUCAUUCCAUUCCCGGCCCCUCCAUCUUCAGAGUCCCUCCACUGCACACUCCUCCUGCUCGUGGGCUCCCACCACCUUCCAGUUUUGUCUUCUCCAAGAAUGUCUCCACCUUUCCCCUCUGCCCCCAGGCCCUGUGAUUCAAUACUCUGCCACAUUUUCUAUUUCAGGCUAAUAGAGACCCUGAUGCUGGAGUUGCCGUAGAACAAGAUGCUCAGGUUCUUUCGGUUUCCUCUCCUCAACCCUGUUCACCGGAGCUGGUCUCCGGCACCACCCAACAGUGAUAAUGUCCUCCAGCUUCCCUGUUAGCCAAGGCAGACCCCAAGUCCAGUUUCAGAGAGAACCGUCCGCGGGAAGAGCGGAUGAAAAGGGCCUGUGACUCUCCCAGUAAAACCAUCACGUAUUAGGUCUCAUUUACCUGAGCAUCUUGUUCAACCGCAACUCCAGCAUCAAGAUCUCUAUUAGCCUGAAAUAGAAAAUGUGGCAGAGUAUUGAAUCACAGGAGCAUUUUUGUGCAAAAGGAGAAAUGGUUCCAUCUGAAGCAAGGACUAAAGGCAAAUGCUUUCUGGGAGCAGCAAAGGGAGAAAAUUUGCAUUUCUAAAUGGCUGAGCCAUGAUUCAGAUGAGAACCAAACGCUUCUGGAGCCUAAUUUGUUCACGGCGUGUCCUGUAAAGGAGAACAGUGGGAACAAGAAGGACAUAGAAUGAGGUAAAUAAUGUUAGCCUCUUACUACAGAUACCCGGACAUGGGACCACAGACACAGUAAACUUGGUGAUAGUGCAUAAUUGACAGAGUUGAUCAUUUUCCUAUCAACAAACUCAUGUUAUUUUAAUUUGUGAAAUGGAGAAUUCCUUUUGUGAAAGCUACCAUUUGUAUUUCUCCAACACGCCCUCUGGACAAACACUGUGAUGUCAACAAAAUGAGAGGGGUUGCUGCUGAGUCUUUUAUUUGACAGUUUUUGUUUCUUUUAACUUUGUGCUGAGAUAGAUUAUAUGUUUUUUCUUUUCUGAAGAAAUAAAGGA
This is a long non-coding RNA of Talpa occidentalis (Iberian mole), 1371 nucleotides long. RefSeq lists it as uncharacterized. The record is from RefSeq and is a predicted model, not a curated record. Lineage: Eukaryota; Metazoa; Chordata; Mammalia; Eulipotyphla; Talpidae. The transcript has 4 exons.